ACAUUUCUUUAAGAUUUAUAUUUAAAGUAUUUUUCUGCCCUAUGAUUAGAUUUAAAUGGCUGCAGUAUCUUGACUGUGCAAAGGUAGCAUAAUAAUUAGUUUCUUAAUUAGGGACUUGUAUGAAUGGAUUAAUGAGAAAUUUAUUUUAUUAUAAUUAUUUUUAAAAUUUAAUUUUUGAGUUAAAAUGCUCAAUUGUAUUAUUGGGACGAUAAGACCCUAUAGAACUUUUAAUAAAUACAUAUUUAUAUAUAUAUUAGUUUUUAUUAUUACGGUAUUUAUUUAUUUUUUGCUGGGGUGGUAGAUAAAAAUUUAACUUUAUUUAAUUAUAUCAUUAAUUUAUGUUUAUAUUUGAUCCGUUAAUUAAUGAUUACAAGAUUAAGUUACCUUAGGGAUAACAGCGUAAUUUUAAUGGAAAGUUCACAUUUAUAUUAAAGUUUGCGACCUCGAUGUUGAAUUAAGAUUAAAUUAAGGGGUAGGUUCUUUAAUGUAAGGUCUGUUCGACCUUUAAAUUCUUACAUGAUCUG
Molecule: ribosomal RNA, 524 nt
Filed under: Metidiocerus sp. DA92
Lineage: Eukaryota; Metazoa; Arthropoda; Insecta; Hemiptera; Cicadellidae
Description: partial large subunit ribosomal RNA
Rfam family: Archaeal large subunit ribosomal RNA (bases 391-524)
Source: RNAcentral